This 1149-nucleotide ribosomal RNA is filed under the name Campylobacter jejuni. Its description in RNAcentral is "partial 23S ribosomal RNA". It matches the Rfam family "Bacterial large subunit ribosomal RNA", at positions 19 to 1188 of the family's 2925-position model. The record is from RNAcentral. Lineage: Bacteria; Pseudomonadati; Campylobacterota; Epsilonproteobacteria; Campylobacterales; Campylobacteraceae.
GAAUGGUGGAUGCCUUGACUGGUAAAGGCGAUGAAGGACGUACUAGACUGCGAUAAGCUACGGGGAGCUGUCAAGAAGCUUUGAUCCGUAGAUUUCCGAAUGGGGCAACCCAAUGUAUAGAGAUAUACAUUACCUAUAUAGGAGCGAACGAGGGGAAUUGAAACAUCUUAGUACCCUCAGGAAAAGAAAUCAAUAGAGAUUGCGUCAGUAGCGGCGAGCGAAAGCGCAAGAGGGCAAACCCAGUGCUUGCACUGGGGGUUGUAGGACUGCAAUGUGCAAGAGGUAAGUUUAGCAGAACAUUCUGGAAAGUAUAACCAUAGAGGGUGAUAGUCCCGUAUGCGAAAAACAAACCUUAGCUAGCAGUAUCCUGAGUAGGGCGGGACACGAGGAAUCCUGUCUGAAUCCGGGUCGACCACGAUCCAACCCUAAAUACUAAUACCAGAUCGAUAGUGCACAAGUACCGUGAGGGAAAGGUGAAAAGAACUGAGGUGAUCAGAGUGAAAUAGAACCUGAAACCAUUUGCUUACAAUCAUUCAGAGCCCUAUGUAGCAAUACAGGGUGAUGGACUGCCUUUUGCAUAAUGAGCCUGCGAGUUGUGGUGUCUGGCAAGGUUAAGCAAACGCGAAGCCGUAGCGAAAGCGAGUCUGAAUAGGGCGCUUAGUCAGAUGCUGCAGACCCGAAACGAAGUGAUCUAUCCAUGAGCAAGUUGAAGCUAGUGUAAGAACUAGUGGAGGACUGAACCCAUAGGCGUUGAAAAGCCCCGGGAUGACUUGUGGAUAGGGGUGAAAGGCCAAUCAAACUUCGUGAUAGCUGGUUCUCUCCGAAAUAUAUUUAGGUAUAGCGUUGUGUCGUAAUAUAAGGGGGUAGAGCACUGAAUGGGCUAGGGCAUACACCAAUGUACCAAACCCUAUCAAACUCCGAAUACCUUAUAUGUAAUCACAGCAGUCAGGCGGCGAGUGAUAAAAUCCGUCGUCAAGAGGGAAACAACCCAGACUACCAGCUAAGGUCCCUAAAUCUUACUUAAGUGGAAAACGAUGUGAAGUUACUUAAACAACCAGGAGGUUGGCUUAGAAGCAGCCAUCCUUUAAAGAAAGCGUAAUAGCUCACUGGUCUAGUGAUUUUGCGCGGAAAAUAUAACGGGGCUAAAGU